RNAcentral lists this ribosomal RNA (253 nucleotides) under uncultured bacterium. RNAcentral describes it as "partial 16S ribosomal RNA". It matches the Rfam family "Bacterial small subunit ribosomal RNA", at positions 524 to 776 of the family's 1533-position model. The record is from RNAcentral.
UACGUAGGGGGCAAGCGUUGUCCGGAUUUAUUGGGCGUAAAGGGUGUGUAGGUGGCGCCGUAAGUCGGGUGUGAAAUUUCGAGGCUUAACCUCGAAACUGCAUUCGAUACUGCGGUGCUUGAGGACUGGAGAGGAGACUGGAAUUCAUGGUGUAGCAGUGAAAUGCGUAGAGAUCAUGAGGAAGACCAGUGGCGAAGGCGGGUCUCUGGACAGUUCCUGACACUGAGACACGAAGGCCAGGGGAGCAAACGGG